GAAUUAGAACCCCUUGUCCACUUCAGGCCAGUUGAGACCACCAACCCACCAACGGGGCCUGCACAGGUGUCCAAUAGGCGACCUUUUGACAUCAAGAGGGGACCCAGAUCUUCACACCCUAGGCCUGGCUCUCUUCCUCAAGCUGUAAGGUGAUGACAGCUGGAGGGAGGAUGGAACUAAGAAGAAGCUCAAAGUGCACACACCAAACGUCUCUUAAGGAGGUUCUCAAAAGCUGUAUUGCAAGGAUCAUCCUUUUAUGUAUAUCUUUGCUCACCUACAACUUCUUCCGAGGAAAGUGGAGAGGAAGGAGUUAAAGAAGCUGGCCUUUAGUUCUGGAGAAAGAAAAAAGGCAGGUGACAUCUAAAUUCCUUGUAAAUGUGCUGAAAACUGAACCUUCUGGUAAAUAGAUGAAUGAUAUUUGCUAGGAGAUCUCUA
Molecule: long non-coding RNA, 435 nt
Filed under: Equus asinus (donkey)
Lineage: Eukaryota; Metazoa; Chordata; Mammalia; Perissodactyla; Equidae
Description: lncRNA (ENSEASG00005024545.1)
Source: RNAcentral